CGCGAAACCUUUACAAUGCACGAAAGUGUGAUAAGGCAACUCCUUGUGCUUAUCCAAAAGAUAGGCUUUUUAGUAUGUAAUGUAUACUAAGAAUAAGUGAUGGGCAAGACCGGUGCCAGCAGCCGCGGUAAUACCGGCGUCACAAGUGGAGAUCACGAUUACUGGGUCUAAAGUGUCCGUAGCUGGUUUAUUAAGUCUCUUGUGAAAUUUCUGUUGCUUAACUCAGAAACUGCAAGAGAUACUGGUAAACUCGAGACCGGAAGAGGUAACAAGUAUUGUUUGGGUAGCGGUAAAAUGCUAUAAUCCUUACAAGACUAACUAAGGCGAAGGCAUGUUACUUGGACGGAUCUGACAGUGA
RNAcentral lists this ribosomal RNA (358 nucleotides) under uncultured Nitrososphaerota archaeon. RNAcentral's name for it is "bacterial SSU rRNA". It matches the Rfam family "Archaeal small subunit ribosomal RNA", at positions 340 to 700 of the family's 1478-position model. The record is from RNAcentral. Lineage: Archaea; Thermoproteati; Nitrososphaerota.